AGGCAUGCGGGCAUGAGACUCUCUGCAACUCUCUGCAGACUCUCUUAGCUGCGUGCUCAGUCGAAGAGGACAGCCUUCCCCGAAUAGAGACGGACCAGUCUUCGGUCGAGGGUAUACGUGUAGCUGUGCUCCCCUGCUAGAACCUCCAAACAAGCUCUCAACAUGAAACAAAAGAUUUAAAUAUUUAUUUUGAAACAUUAUUUUUAGAAUUUAUUUUAAUUG
This 222-nucleotide small nuclear RNA is filed under the name Sorex araneus (European shrew). RNAcentral describes it as "7SK RNA (ENSSARG00000019909.1)". It matches the Rfam family "7SK RNA". From Rfam's summary of the family: 7SK was discovered as an abundant small nuclear RNA in the mid-70s but a possible function has only recently been suggested. Two independent studies have found that 7SK RNA binds the CDK9/cyclin T complex (known as elongation factor P-TEFb). The record is from RNAcentral. Lineage: Eukaryota; Metazoa; Chordata; Mammalia; Eulipotyphla; Soricidae.